RNA transcript from Cryptomeria japonica (Japanese cedar), 923 nucleotides. RefSeq lists it as uncharacterized. The record is from RefSeq and is a predicted model, not a curated record. NCBI's taxonomy places the organism in Eukaryota, Viridiplantae, Streptophyta, Pinopsida, Cupressales, Cupressaceae. The transcript has 3 exons.
UCUGAUAAACGAGGAAUGCCCGUAGCUGCAAUACUUUCCCUUUUUACUUCAAUAAAAUCGCCCGUCCAUCACCCAAUGUCUCGUUUUAAUCUCCUUUAUGCCUUCAUUCUCUAUACCCUUUCACUCCCUUGUUCGCUGUGCGCAGACCUCAGUUAUACAAACUGCCAAAGCAAUCAAACAUGUGGCGAUGUAAAAAUCCCAUAUCCUUUUGGUUUAAGGGAAAGUGGAUGUGGUCUGCCAGACUUACAAGUCGACUGUGAAGAUAAGGGACAUUUGGUACUCGAAAUUGGAAACCAGAGGUACACAAUCUUAAAUUUUUUUCCAGAUAAUCAGACUUCAACAAUUACUGAGGACACGAGUUUCCAAAAUUGUUCAUUUUCAUAUAAUCUCAACGAAGAUGCAAUCCAAGCCUUGGGUUUCUUCGAUCGAAUCGAACGACAUAACAUCAGUGUACAAGUAUUUGUGUGUGGUUUGCAAUGUAAAGCUGCAUUAUCUGGCCUCCAGUUUCCAGGAUGUGGUUUGCAAUGGGUAACUAUAGAAGAGGUAUCAGCCCAUUGGGAAGAGGACCAAGAUCAGAAAUGUGGGAGUUGCCAUUCAAGUGGUGGUCUGUGUGGGUUUAAUAUUUCCGAUUCAAACGAGUUCCUUUGCUUUUAAGAGGAUGCACCCCAUCCAACCACAUGUUCAUCAGGCAAGAGAUCAAAUUAUGGAACUAUAACAGGCAGAACUAUAAAAGGCAGAGAUAUAACAGGAGUAGCCAUUGAGGCAAGUGCUUUCAUAGUGAUAGUAGCACUAUUUCUUAUUGUUGUUUAUCGAAAGAGGUCAUCCUACUUUAGAUGGAUCCAAAGUUGUGUUACAAGCGAACCGAUGAAUUCACGGUCUAUUGGGAAAGUGGAGAAUUUCCUCCAAAGUUAUAAUCAUGAAAG